GAUGAACGUUGGCGGCGUGCCUAACACAUGCAAGUCGAACGAUAGUCGCAAGACUAUAGUGGCGCACGGGUGAGUAACACGUAGCUUACCAGCCUCUCAGCGCGGGAUAACGGCUCGAAAGAGGUGCUAAUACCGCAUAAGCUCACGGGAUGUAGAGACUAGUGAGAAAAGGUGCAAAUCACUGAGAGACGGGGCUGCGGCCCAUCAGCUAGNGGUGCGGUAACGGCGCACCAAGGCGACGACGGGUAGGGACCUGGA
This 258-nucleotide ribosomal RNA is filed under the name uncultured bacterium. Its description in RNAcentral is "partial 16S ribosomal RNA". It matches the Rfam family "Bacterial small subunit ribosomal RNA", at positions 28 to 295 of the family's 1533-position model. The record is from RNAcentral.